GACGAACGCUGGCGGCGUGCUUAACACAUGCAAGUCGAACGGAAAGGCCCUGCUUUUGUGGGGUGCUCGAGUGGCGAACGGGUGAGUAACACGUGAGUAACCUGCCCUUGACUUUGGGAUAACUUCAGGAAACUGGGGCUAAUACCGGAUAGGAGCUCCUGCUGCAUGGUGGGGGUUGGAAAGUUUCGGCGGUUGGGGAUGGACUCGCGGCUUAUCAGCUUGUUGGUGGGGUAGUGGCUUACCAAGGCUUUGACGGGUAGCCGGCCUGAGAGGGUGACCGGCCACAUUGGGACUGAGAUACGGCCCAGACUCCUACGGGAGGCAGCAGUGUGGAAUAUUACACAAUGGGCGGGAGCCUGAUGCAGCAACGCCGCGUGCGGGAUGACGGCCUUCGGGUUGUAACCCGCUUUCGCCUGUGACGAAGCGUGAGUGACGGUAAUGGGUAAAGAAGCACCGGCUAACUACGUG
This 468-nucleotide ribosomal RNA is filed under the name uncultured bacterium. Its description in RNAcentral is "partial 16S ribosomal RNA". It matches the Rfam family "Bacterial small subunit ribosomal RNA", at positions 28 to 507 of the family's 1533-position model. The record is from RNAcentral.